UACGUAGGGUGCGAGCGUUACUCGGAAUUACUGGGCGUAAAGCGUGCGUAGGUGGUUCGUUAAGUCUGUCGUGAAAGCCCCGGGCUCAACCUGGGAAUGGCGAUGGAUACUGGCGGGCUAGAGUGCGGUAGAGGAGAGUGGAAUUCCCGGUGUAGCAGUGAAAUGCGUAGAGAUCGGGAGGAACAUCAGUUGCGAAGGCGGCUCUCUGGACCAGCACUGACACUGAGGCACGAAAGCGUGGGGAGCAAACAGG
RNAcentral lists this ribosomal RNA (253 nucleotides) under uncultured bacterium. RNAcentral's name for it is "partial 16S ribosomal RNA". It matches the Rfam family "Bacterial small subunit ribosomal RNA", at positions 524 to 776 of the family's 1533-position model. The record is from RNAcentral.